Acinonyx jubatus (cheetah) is the source of this 3878-nucleotide long non-coding RNA. RefSeq lists it as uncharacterized. The record is from RefSeq and is a predicted model, not a curated record. Lineage: Eukaryota; Metazoa; Chordata; Mammalia; Carnivora; Felidae. The transcript has 2 exons.
CGGGCUUUCCGAGGGGCCAGAUCCAGCUUCGUGAAUCAGCUCUUGAUAAGCUUUGACCGGCGAGACUCACAGGACGCAAGCAUGGGUCGAAACAAACGGCUUUAUUCAGGGAGCAAAAAGUUGCGAAUCCAACGUGGGGUUUUUAAACCUCAUUUGCACGUCUCUGAAGCCAGAAGAGGCUGCCGAUCGCCCUGAGUAUCCUUGGCUGACGGGCACCUGCAUGAGGGAAUCGGCCAAUCUUCACGCUGCCUUGCUAAAUACUUAGCGCCCCAGGAACCCAACGUAGGCUUGAGGAAGAACCAAAAGGUCUGGGGUAGGUUACACUGUCUUAGGUGUCUGGCGAGGGCAGGGGGCUGAAUUCCCUCCCAUCUGGUCUCUAUGGCUACUGAAAUCAAACUAUCAGUUAUAAUGCCGGUUACUCAGAACGUCAGACCCUCUGGGCAUCAGGGGUGGGAGGAUGCCAGGAUCUGCGCCUGUUGCUGGUGCAGGAGGGUGGAGGCGUGGCUAGGACUCUUGCUCCUUCUCUUCGGCUUGUUUUCUUGUGAGGCAAAAAUAGGAAGCCUCUCCAACAAGGGUGUCUCCAGGCCCUGGAUUUGAAAUGCAGCAAGUGCCUUGAAACAAAACCAAAGAGGUCAGGCUGGGUAAUAGUCUCCAGCAAAGGUGUUCACCACGUGUCAGCCCUGGAGUCCUGCACAAAAACGUCGGUAGGCCUCUGUGCCAUUAGCUAGCCUGCCUGUGCCUCUCAAGAAAUGUGGACAGUGCAAAUCGCUGCAAAAAAAAAAAAAAAAAAAAAAAGCAUUUUCCAUCACCCACUCCAAGGGGCCCAACUUUCUCAAAAGCUGGUAUUGGAGGCUUCCUCAGUACAUGGAUGUGGAGGCUGGAUGCUUCCCUACCUGGCCUCCACCUCAGCGCCUAGAGCUGCACAGGGAACUGUGUGUGUGGAGCUCACACACACAACACUGCUCGCGGGACUAGCCUCAUGCUCUGAGGAUUCUUACAGGAUGGAAGAGCCCCAGGGAGGAUGCUUGCCAGAAAGUCACCUCGUUUGGGAUCUAUGGAUAGGGUGGGGGCAACGACCCCUAUUUUAAGGGGUCUUUCUCUCUUCCACGCCACCAAUUUAUAGCCCCACCACCUCGCCUAGGGCAGAGUCCGGAACUCCCCACAGAACCUUAUGUGAGUGGGGGAGGGAGGCCUGGGCUCCCUCUCGGUGUGGACAGUAACACUGCCAGAUCUGUAGCUCUAAAGGCCCGUGGUAUAUCCCAGACCCCUGACCCUGGGGCUGGAAGAGAGGCAUUUCCACAGCCUAAUAGAAGGCAGAAAGUGGGAACGAAUUCCCGGCUCGCAGCUGAAGAAAACAGGAAGACGAUGGCACUAAGGCUAAGUGCUAAAGGGUAGUGCUCUCAAGCUUGAGUGAGCCCAUGAAGUUCCUGGAGGACCUUGAUCCAAACUGCCCGUCGCUGAGCCCCAGUCCCAGAUAUCCGCUCAAGCAGGUAAGGAGUUGAGCAUAUUUAACAAGCACCCCUAGUGACUCCCAGGCUGGGUCCCAGAGAACUGGGAAGAGCGGACUAGGCCACCAUGCUGCUGGCACAUUUAUGGAGUUCUGUUCCCGCAAGAAGGACGUCGGUAGCAAGGGACGAGGACAAGGGCUGAAGGCAGCUACGUCCACUCUGUGCAGCCCGAGGUCUGACUUUUGGGGAGCUGGAGGCGCCGUCACUCAUCAGCCCAGUGGCAGACCAGGAGCCAGCAGGCACUUGAAUUCUCUGCUGCCACGUCAUGGAGAGGGAAACUGAGGCACAGGAAAGAGGAAGGGAUUCAUUACGGUUGAACCUCUGCCUGCGGCACAGCUGGGGCUGGAGCCCAAGCCUCCCAAGCGAAAGCGUGGACGUGUCUGCUCUUCAGGAAACCAGGCUCAGGUCAAACAUAAGUGCUGCCACCGCGGGAAAGCAGCAGACUCCCUCCAGGAAAGACUUUUCCUCCAUUGUCCCAGGAUGACCUCUCUGGAGUGCUCUGUGGAGAGGGUUUGGCUUGCCCCUCCUAAGGGAGCCCCUGGAGGAGGUAGAGAAAUUCUCUGGUACAAGUGUCCCAUCUGAAGUUGAAGCUUCCCUGCUUCUGCUGUAGAGCCAGGGUGAGACCCAGAGCCGGGCCGGUGGUCCCUAGAGCCUGGUGAUCCUCUGCAUUCACAGUGCCUCCUCCAUGCCACUGAGGCUGUGGGCAGCCUCCCCAGAACGCUCCCCAACCAUCCAGGGGGGAUGCUGGGGUGGGGGGUGCUUCUGGAAGCCCCAACAGCCUCUCUCCCAUUUCAGAGAAGUCCUCUUGCUACCAGAUCAUGGGGUGGAAUCUUUCAUGAUGGGAUUAUUUCCUGAAGCACCUUAAAAAUGAAUUUGAGCUAGGAACCUUUCUGCAUAUUUAAGUGCCAGGAGGUCACCGUUGCUCAGAAAGGGGCCUUGGGAAGCAGGUUUGUGCUCCUGAUUACCCUGCCUCUCUGGGAGGUGGGCUUAACUAUCUUGUCGCUGCCCACUUCCUGGUGCUUGGAGAGCACCCCCUCCCCCAAGCAAAGACUCUAGGGCAGCCUUGAUUCUGCAGAGAGCCUGUCACCAUGAUUCCCGGGGGCAAGGCAGCAGCAAGGGGGCGGGAGGGGGGCCUCCAAGGCAAUCCCUAGGAUUCCUGCUCCAACGUGAGCUCUCCGUCAAGACAGCUUGGGGGCCUCUUGGCUGGUAGGAGGGUACAGGAGUCUGUCAGGAGGGUCCACGAUGCAGUCCUUCAGGAUCUCCACCGGCUCCUUGUAGGGUGGAACGGGCGGUUUCUGGGUCACAGCCUCCUCCACAUAGAGUGCCCCCAUCUUCUCCUUCCUGAGCCCUGGUCCUUGUGCGAGGGGAAAGAGAACCCACAGUUACACGGAGGGGAAAACAGAUUAGAUGAUGACCCCUUCCCACAUCCACUGUGCCCCAAGGAAUGCUGGGUGAGAAUGCAGAACAGCCUGGAGAUAUGACUGCGCUGCUCUUGGCAGACCUGUUCUAGACUCGCUCUGUUCUCUCACCCUGGGGUGGUGGGCCUCACCUGGGGCGAUUCUGCCCUCCAGGGGACACGUGGCAAUGCCUGGACACACUUCUGAUCGCUACAACUGGGUGAGUGCCAAGGGGGCCCAGUGGGUACGUAAGGGGUGCAGGUCAGGGGUGCUGCUGGAGACCCGAUCACACACAGGCCGGGCCUCACAACGAGGAACCUUCCAGCCCUCAGUGUCCACAGUGCUGAGGUUGAGAACCCUGCCUGGAAAGGAGGGCCUUAUCCUAUCAAAUCUGGUAGUGCCCUGUAUUUGCUUCAGAUGUACUAGUCCCACCGCCCCCUGCAAAAGGGCACACUUGAGAGCACCCUUCACCCCCACACGGCUGGACGUGGGGAGCAGCUCACUCAGCAAACGCGUGGGCAAAGGAUUCACUCUCCGGCUCCCUACCUUUCUCCCCGUCUCCUCUCUCCACUUCCACCCCAGGCCCCUCCCCUUGCCCAGCAAUGGGGCCAGGGCCGCCCUGCUUCCUGGGGAGCCCCUGGCAAGCCUGAUACCCUGUCCGCAGCUGAUGACCACAGACCGGGCGGUAACCACACAGGAGCACAAGCAAUGGAAGGGGACCAGAAACAACAAGAUGUCAAGGAAGAAACGUCAUUGCUGUCACUGAGAAGUGACACACGAAUAGCCUGGAGGACCUCUUUGGUUUUCAGGGACUACUUGAAAAGAGGAGACUUGCUCACUUCAGACUCAGUAACUCACCUCCCAUAUAACAUAAGCGUCCCUCCAGUCCGUCCCCACCCCGGCCCCCAGGCUAGUUGGGCUGUGCCCCUCACAGACGCCUCCCUGCCCAGGAUGCCCCAGCCCUCUCCUCCAC